This 253-nucleotide ribosomal RNA is filed under the name uncultured bacterium. RNAcentral's name for it is "partial 16S ribosomal RNA". It matches the Rfam family "Bacterial small subunit ribosomal RNA", at positions 524 to 776 of the family's 1533-position model. The record is from RNAcentral.
UACGUAGGGUGCGAGCGUUAAUCGGAAUUACUGGGCGUAAAGCGUGCGCAGGCGGUUCGUUAAGUCAGAUGUGAAAGCCCCGGGCUCAACCUGGGAACUGCAUUUGAAACUGGCGGGCUUGAGUAUGGCAGAGGGGGGUGGAAUUCCGCGUGUAGCAGUGAAAUGCGUAGAGAUGCGGAGGAACACCGAUGGCGAAGGCAGCCCCCUGGGCCAAUACUGACGCUCAGGCACGAAAGCGUGGGGAACAAACAGG